GAACACGUGAGAAACCUGCCUUUCAUUCUGGGAUAACACCGGGAAACCGGCGCUAAUACCGGAUACUCCAUCUUGGCGGCAUCGCCGAGCUGGGAAAAAAUUUUGAUGAAAGAUGGUCUCGCGGCCUAUCAGCUAGUUGGUGAGGUAAAGGCUCACCAAGGCGACGACGGGUAGCCGGCCUGAGAGGGCGACCGGCCACACUGGGACUGAGACACGGCCCAGACUCC
This 227-nucleotide ribosomal RNA is filed under the name uncultured bacterium. RNAcentral's name for it is "partial 16S ribosomal RNA". It matches the Rfam family "Bacterial small subunit ribosomal RNA", at positions 111 to 339 of the family's 1533-position model. The record is from RNAcentral.